RNAcentral lists this ribosomal RNA (429 nucleotides) under Chloroflexota bacterium. RNAcentral describes it as "Chloroflexi bacterium partial 16S ribosomal RNA". It matches the Rfam family "Bacterial small subunit ribosomal RNA", at positions 355 to 776 of the family's 1533-position model. The record is from RNAcentral. Lineage: Bacteria; Bacillati; Chloroflexota.
UGGGGAAUAUUGCACAAUGGGCGCAAGCCUGAUGCAGCCAUGCCGCGUGUAUGAAGAAGGCCUUCGGGUUGUAAAGUACUUUCAGCGGGGAGGAAGGGAGUAAAGUUAAUACCUUUGCUCAUUGACGUUACCGACAGAAGAAGCACCGGCUAACUCCGUGCCAGCAGCCGCGGUAAUACGGAGGGUGCAAGCGUUAAUCGGAAUUACUGGGCGUAAAGCGCACGCAGGCGGUUUGUUAAGUCAGAUGUGAAAUCCCCGGGCUUAACCCGGGAAUUGCAUCUGAUACUGGUCAGCUAGAGUCUUGUAGAGGGGGGUAGAAUUCCAUGUGUAGCGGUGAAAUGCGUAGAGAUGUGGAGGAAUACCGGUGGCGAAGGCGGCCCCCUGGACAAAGACUGACGCUCAGGUGCGAAAGCGUGGGGAGCAAACAGG